GUCUAUAUAGGUUACGUCCUACAGUCAACAUUGAUCCGAUACCAACUUUGUCACGCCGGAUUUUAAGGGCAAACCCGGGCGCGAAUCAAAUGUGUGCUAGGAUCAAGUCUCACACACAUGAUGACACAUGGUACAGAAACGAAUGUCGAAUCUUUACUAUAUAUAUAGGAGUUAUGUACAAAAUAGCUAAAUCAUUACAUCAUAUGAAGACAACGAUCCUCCUCAACCAUAGUUGACUGGGAGACGACGACCUAGACCUCUCAUGAACUCAUCGCGACAUCCUUCAUGCUCCUCAUCUUUCCGGUACCUGUUCUUGACCUAGGGGUGAGUACAACAAGAGUGAGUUCAUAUAUUUUUAUCAUUCAACAAGUUGUGGGGAAUAAUGUGCAUGAGCUCACUUACGGUGGGGGCUCGUGUGAAGUGUAGGGAUUCCCAAAGAAAAUGGUUAAGGCUGGCAUUGCUUUUAACAAGUUGGUCAAAAUUUUAUUAGUAGUUACUAAAUAUAAGUAGAUACCAUCCCAAUUAAAUAAGAGAUCAUAAUUAUAAUAAAUCCCACAAUGCAAUGCAAAUGACAGAUUAAGUUUAGUUCCAUAAGUUACUCAUGUGAGGGCCCGAGCCGCUCAUGACCGUGAGCACGGCUGAUGUACCAGUUUUACACUCUAUAGAGGUUGCACAUCUUUACCCACAAGACAUGUUUGCCAUUUAGCAAGGGUUUGCAAGACCCUUAGACACUCCCAAGGUCAAUGGCUAGAUGAGAGAACCCGCUACGGAGUUCGUGUCGAAGGCGAUGUAGUAAUCCCUCGUUCGAAAAGCUAAAAAGGCAGUCCAACCUGAGGACCUCCCUACACCUGCACUCCUCCACCCCGCUUGCCCCUUUUGGGAAAGGAUUAACUCACACUAGCUUUCCUAAUUAUUCAGCCAAGGGCAUCCCAUUCCACCCUUUUAGUACCACUGUUUUCGCGGGUAGUGAAAGGGAAAUGUGCCUUUUGGCCAUUUCUAAGUAUUUUGGUGAUUAAGUGUCAACACAAAGUGCUUAAAUGUGAAUCUAUGCCCAUGGAUGAACAAAGUGCACAUCACAAGUAAAGGUAUGUUUCUAAGCCUUAGUACAUUGGUUUUGUGUACUAAUAUAUUUAUCUAAGUGUUAGAAACAGAAAGAAGAAGAAAAGGAGAUUGUUGGCUGUGUACAGCCAACAGGUUGUUUCGGUCUGGGGCACCGGACUGUCCGGUGGUGCACCGGACUGUCCGGUGGUGCACCGGACAGUGUCCGGUGCGCCAGGCUGCCUCGACCUGAAGACGCCGCUCUCGGGAAUUUGCCGACGGCGUACGGCUAAAAUUCACCGGACUGUCCGGUGUGCACCGGACUGUCCGGUGAGCCAACGGUCGGCCGAGCCAACGGUCGGCCGCGGAAUCUGUGCGCGACACGUGGUCUGGCCAACGGUCGGAAGGAGGCACCGGACUGUCCGGUGUGCACCGGACUGUCCGGUGCGCCAGAUCUGCAACGGUCGGCUGCGCUGUUUAAGGAAAUAAAUCGGGCACCGGACAGUGUCCGGUGUGCACCGGACUGUCCGGUGCGCCCGAUGACAGAAGGCAAGGAUGGCCUUCCAGAUUUGUUCUCAACGGCUCCUAGCUGCCUUGGGGCUAUAAAAGGGACCCCUAGGCGCAUGGAGGAGUACACCAAGCAACCUUAGAGCAUUCUUGAUCAUCCACACUCAGUCUUUGCGCAUUCGUUUGUCAUUCUAAGUGAUUCGAGCUCGUUCUAGUGUGAACUUUGAGAUAGUCUCUUUAGCUCGUUUCUUGGCCGUGUGUGUGCGCAUUUUGCUGUGGAUUUGUGUGUGUUGCUUCCCUCCCUUACUCCGUGCUUCUUUGUGAAAUUCAAUUGUAAGGGCGAGAGACUCCAAGUUGUGGAGAUUCCUCGCAAACGGGAAAAGAUCAAAGAAAAGAAGAACACCGUGGUAUUCAAGUUGAUCAUUGGAUCACUUGAGAGGAGUUGAGUGCAACUCUCGUCCGUUGGGACGCCACAACGUGGAGUAGGCAAGUUUUGUACUUUGCCGAACCACGGGAUAACCACCGUGUCAUCUCUGUGAUUGAUUUCUUGUGAUUAUUGUGUCUUGGCUCCUCUCUAGCCACUUGGCAAUUAUUGUGCUAACGAUUAACCAAGUUUUUGUGGCUAUAAGCUUAAGUUUUACAGGAUCACCUAUUCACCCCCCCCCCCUCUAGGUGCUCUCAAUUGGUAUCAGAGCCGUUCUCUUCAAGAAGGGACUAAUCGCCCGAAGAGAUGGAUCCUAAGGGAAAGGGGAUGGUGGUCGACAACAACGAGAAGGAGUCUAUCUUCAACGAGCCAAAGAAUGACAAGUCUACCGACUUGGGCUCAAGCCACAAGCGCAAAGACGGGAAGAAGAAGAAGACAAGGCGCAUCAAGGAGAUCGUCUACUACGACAGCGACGAAUCCUCUUCUUCCCAAAAGGAUGAUGACAACGACUACAGGAAGACGGUCAAUUCAAACUUUUCAUUUGAUUAUUCUCGUAUUCCACAUAGUUCGAAUUCGCAUUUGCUUUCCAUUCCUCUUGGUAAACCUCCACACUUUGAUGGGGAGGACUACGGAUUUUGGAGUCACAAAAUGCGUAGUCAUUUAUUCUCUCUCCAUCCAAGCAUAUGGGAGAUUGUAGAAAAUGGAAUGAAAUUUGAUAGCUCGGAUAGCCCUAUGUUUAUUAAUGAACAAAUUCAUAAAAAUGCACAAGCUACUACUGUGUUGCUAGCCUCUUUGUGCAGGGACGAGUACAAUAAGGUGAGCGGCUUGGACAAUGCCAAGCAGAUAUGGGACACCCUCAAGAUUUCUCACGAGGGGAACGACAUCACCAUGCUCACUAAAAUGGAGUUGGUGGAGGGCGAGCUUGGAAGGUUUGCAAUGAUAAGGGGCGAGGAGCCAACCCAAACAUACAACCGGCUCAAGACCCUUAUCAACAAAAUAAGGAGCUACGGAAGCACGCGAUGGACGGACCAUGACGUCGUCCGCCUAAUGCUAAGGUCAUUUACCGUUCUUGAUCCUCAUCUCGUGAACAAUAUUCGUGAGAAUCCCAGGUACACGAAGAUGACGCCCGAGGAGGUACUCGGAAAAUUCGUAAGCGGGCGGAUGAUGAGCAAGGAGGCAAGAUACGUGGACGACGCCUUGAAUGGACCGAUCAACGAGCCUCAACCUCUUGCUCUCAAGGCAACAAGAAGCAAGGAGGCGCUACCUAGCAGGGUGGCACAAAUUGAGGCGGCCGGACUUAAUGAUGAAGAGAUGGCUCUCAUCAUCAAACGCUUCAAGACGGUGCUAAAAGGUCACAAGGGGCAGCCAAGCAAGACCAAGACAAAGGGGAAACGCUCAUGCUUCAAGUGCGGUAAGAUUGGUCAUUUUAUCGCUAACUGCCCCGAUAACGAUAGUGACCAGGAACAUGGGAACAAGAGGGAAAAGAAGAAGAAUUACAAGAAGGCCAAGGGCGAGGCACAUAUCGGAAAGGAGUGGGAUUCGGAUUGCUCCUCCGACUCCGACAAUGAAGGACUCGCCGCCACCGCCUUCAACAAGUCAUCCCUCUUCCCCAACGAGCGUCACACAUGCCUUAUGGCAAGGGAGAAGAAGGUGAGUACUCGAAACUCCACUUAUGCUUCUUCUAGUGAUAAUGAGUCUAGUGAUGAUGAUGACAUAGACUAUUCAUGCUUAUUCAAGGGCUUAGAUAGAUCUAAGAUAGACAAAAUCAAUGAAUUGAUUGAUGCCUUGAAUGAUAAGAAUGUGCUUUUAGAAAAGCAAGAGGAUUUGUUGUAUGAAGAACAUGACAAGUUUGUAGAAGCACAAAAAUCACUUGCAUUAGAAAUUAAGAGAAAUGAAAUGCUUUCUUGUGAGUUGUCUACAUGUCAUGAUUCAAUUGCUAGUUUGAAGAGCAUAAAUGAUGAUUUAAAUGCUAAACUAGAAAAAUCUAGUAAAUCAACAUCUUGUGUAGAACAUGUUGAGAUUUGCACUAGGUGUAAGGAUUUCGAUGUUGAUGCCUGUAGUGAUCACUUGGUUUCAAUUUCUAAAUUGAAUGAUGAAGUGGCUAGUCUUAAUACUCAACUUAAGGCUAGCAAAAAUGAUUUCGAUAAACUAAAAUUUGCAAGGGAUGCCUACACCAUUGGUAGACAUCCCUCAAUUAAGGAUGGACUUGGCUUCAAAAGGGAAGCCAAGAACUUAACAAGCCAUAAGGCUCCCAUUCCUGCUAAGGAGAAAGGGAAGGCCCCUAUGGCUACUAGUGCUAAAAAGAACCAUGCCUUUUUUUAUCAUGAUAGGAAAAAUUCUAGAAAUGCUUUUAGAAGUUAUGAUGCUUUUGAUUCACAUGCUUAUGAUUCUUAUGCCAUGACUGCUUCUAGUUCUUCCUAUAUGCAUGGUAGAAGUAUGACUAGGAGAAAUGCUAUUCAUCACGUGCCUAGAAAGAAUACUAUUCAUGCUCCUAGGAAAGUAGUUAAUGAACCUUCUACAAUUUAUUGUGCUUUAAAUGCUUCCUUUGCUAUUUGUAGAAAGGAUAGGAAAAUAGUUGCUAAGAAGUUAGGGGCAAAAUGCAAGGGAGACAAAACUUGCAUUUGGGUCCCUAAGGAAAUUUGCACUAACCUUGUAGGACCCAACAAGAGUUGGGUACCUAAGUCCCAAGCCUAAAUUUGCCUUGCAGGUUUAUGCAUCCGGGGGUUCAAGCUGGAUUAUCGACAGCGGAUGCACAAACCAUCUGACGGGGGAGAAGAAGAUGUUCACUUCCUACGUCAAGAAUAAGGAUUCCCAAGAUUCAAUUAUAUUCGGUGAUGGGAAUCAAGGCAAGGUAAAAGGAUUAGGUAAAAUUGCAAUUUCUAAUGAGCAUUCUAUCUCUAAUGUAUUUUUAGUGGAGAGUCUUGGAUAUAAUUUGCUAUCUGUUAGUCAAUUAUGUCAUAUGGGAUAUAACUGUCUAUUUACAAAUGUAGAUGUGUCUGUCUUUAGAAGAAGUGAUGGUUCACUAGCUUUUAAGGGUGUAUUAGACGGCAAACUUUAUUUAGUUGAUUUUGCAAAAGAAGAGGCCGGUCUAGAUGCAUGCUUAAUAGCUAAGACUAGCAUGGGCUGGCUGUGGCAUCGCCGCUUAGCACAUGUGGGGAUGAAGAACCUUCACAAGCUUCUAAAGGGAGAACACGUGAUAGGUUUAACUAACGUGCAAUUCGAAAAAGAUAGACCUUGUGCAGCUUGUCAAGCAGGUAAACAAGUGGGAGGAGCGCAUCACAGCAAGAAUGUGAUGACUACUUCAAGACCCCUGGAGCUGCUGCAUAUGGACCUCUUCGGACCUGUCGCCUAUCUGAGCAUAGGAGGGAGUAAGUAUGGUCUAGUUAUCGUUGAUGACUUUUCCCGCUUUACUUGGGUGUUCUUUUUGCAGGAUAAGUCUGAAACCCAAGGAACCCUCAAGUGCUUCCUCAGGAGAGCUCAAAAUGAGUUUGAGCUCAAGGUGAAGAAGAUAAGGAGCGACAACGGGUCCGAGUUCAAGAACCUUCAAGUGGAGGAGUUCCUUGAGGAGGAAGGGAUCAAGCACGAGUUCUCCGCUCCCUACACACCCCAGCAAAAUGGUGUGGUAGAGAGGAAGAACAGGACGCUAAUCGAUAUGGCAAGGACGAUGCUUGGAGAGUUCAAGACCCCCGAGUGUUUCUGGUCGGAAGCCGUGAACACGGCUUGCCACGCCAUCAACAGGGUCUACCUUCAUCGCCUCCUCAAGAAGACUUCGUAUGAGCUACUAACCGGUAACAAACCCAAUGUAUCUUACUUUCGUGUAUUUGGGAGCAAGUGCUACAUUCUAGUGAAGAAGGGUAGAAAUUCUAAGUUUGCUCCCAAAGCUGUAGAAGGGUUUUUAUUAGGUUAUGACUCAAAUACAAAGGCGUAUAGAGUUUUCAACAAAUCAUCGGGUUUGGUUGAAAUCUCUAGCGACGUUGUAUUUGAUGAGACUAAUGGCUCUCCAAGAGAGCAAGUUGUUGAUUGUGAUGAUGUAGAUGAAGAAGAUGUUCCAACAGCCGCUAUACGAACCAUGGCGAUUGGAGAAGUGCGGCCACAGGAACAGGAUGAAUGAGAUCAACCUUCUUCCUCAACAACGGUGCAUCCCCCAACUCAAGACGAUGAACAGGUUCAUCAACAGGAGGCAUGUGAUCAAGGGGGAGCACAAGAUGAUCAUGUGAUGGAGGAAGAAGCGCAACCGGCACCUCCAACCCAAGUUCGAGCGAUGAUUCAAAGGAAUCAUCCCAUCGAUCAAAUUCUGGGUGAUAUCAGCAAGGGAGUAACUACUCGAUCUCGAUUAGUUAAUUUUUGUGAGCAUUACUCCUUUGUCUCUUCUAUUGAGCCUUUCAGGGUAGAGGAGGCCUUGCUAGAUCCGGAUUGGGUAUUGGCCAUGUAGGAGGAACUCAACAACUUCAAGCGCAAUGAAGUUUGGACACUGGUGCCUCGUCCCAAGCAAAAUGUUGUGGGAACCAAGCGGGUGUUCCGCAACAAACAGGACGAGCACGGGGUGGUGACAAGGAACAAGGCUCGACUUGUGGCAAAAGGUUAUGCCCAAGUCGCAGGUUUGGACUUUGAGGAGACUUUUGCUCCUGUGGCUAGGCUAGAGUCAAUUCGAAUCUUGCUAGCAUAUGCCGCUCACCAUUCUUUCAGGUUGUACCAAAUGGAUGUGAAGAGCGCUUUCCUCAACGGGCCAAUCAAGGAGGAGGUGUACGUGGAGCAACCCCCUGGCUUCGAGGAUGAACGGUACCCCGACCACGUGUGUAAGCUCUCUAAGGCGCUCUAUGGACUUAAGCAAGCCCCAUGAGCAUGGUAUGAAUGCCUUAGAGAUUUCUUAAUUGCUAAUGCUUUCAAGGUUGGGAAAGCCGAUCCAACUCUUUUUACUAAGACUUGUAAUGGUGAUUUGUUUGUGUGCCAAAUUUAUGUCGAUGACAUAAUAUUUGGUUCUACUAACCAAAAGUCUUGUGAAGAGUUUAGCAGGGUGAUGACGCAGAAAUUCGAGAUGUCGAUGAUGGGCGAGUUGAACUACUUCCUUGGGUUCCAAGUGAAGCAACUCAAGGACGGCACUUUCAUCUCCCAAACGAAGUACACGCAAGACUUGCUAAAGAGGUUUGGGAUGAAGGACGCCAAGCCCGCAAAGACGCCGAUGGGAACCGAUGGACACACAGACCUCAACAAAGGAGGUAAGUCCGUUGAUCAAAAAGCAUACCGGUCAAUGAUAGGGUCUUUACUUUAUUUAUGUGCUAGUAGACCGGAUAUUAUGCUUAGCGUAUGCAUGUGUGCUAGAUUUCAAUCCGAUCCUAAGGAAUGUCACUUAGUGGCGGUGAAGCGAAUUCUUAGAUAUUUAGUUGCUACGCCUUGCUUCGGGCUCUGGUAUCCAAAGGGGUCUACCUUUGACUUGGUUGGAUACUCAGACUUCGACUAUGCUGGAUGUAAGGUCGAUAGGAAGAGUACAUCGGGGACGUGCCAAUUCUUAGGAAGGUCCCUGGUGUCAUGGAAUUCUAAGAAACAAACCUCUGUUGCCCUAUCCACCGCUGAGGCCGAGUAUGUUGCCGCAGGACAGUGUUGCGCGCAACUACUUUGGAUGAGGCAAACCCUCCGGGACUUUGGCUACAAUCUGAGCAAAGUCCCACUCCUAUGUGAUAAUGAGAGUGCUAUCCGCAUGGCGGAAAAUCCUGUUGAACACAGCCGCACAAAACACAUAGACAUCCGGCAUCACUUUUUGAGAGACCACCAGCAAAAGGGAGAUAUCGAAGUGUUUCAUGUUAGCACCGAGAACCAGCUAGCCGAUAUCUUUACCAAGCCUCUAGAUGAGAAGACCUUUUGCAGGCUGCGUAGUGAGCUAAAUGUCUUAGAUUCGCGGAACUUGGAUUGAAUUGUAGCAUACAUGUGUUUAUGCCCUGGAUCAUGUUCCUUAUGCAUUUUGUUGCUUAUUGUGGUGCUCAAGUUGUACAAACACUCCCUGGACCUCACAAGUCCGUUGCAAAGUGAUGCACAUGUUUAGGGGGAGAUGUGUUGCAACUUGACCCUUUGAGACUAACCAUUUGCUUGAGUUUGCUUGAUUUAGUCUCGAAGGUGGAUUGAAAGGGAAAGGUGAACUUGGACCAUGCAAGACUUCCACUGCACUCCGAUGAGAGGGUAACUUAUUCCAAGUUCAUCUCUAUGACUUUAUUGCCUUUGUACUCUUAAUUGAAGAUUUUGGUGAGGCAAUGGGGUUAAGGGGCCAAGAUUGAUCCCGUUUUGGUGCUUGAUGCCAAAGGGGGAGAAAAUAAAGGCCAAAGCAAUAAAUGGAUCAGCUACCACUUGAGAGAUUUUGAAAAUAGUAAAAUAGAGCUUUUGGUUUGUUCAAAACUCUUGCAUUGUCUCUUUCGUCAAAAGUUGGCUUCUAGUGGGGAGAAGUAUUGAUUAUGGGAAAUAGGGGGAGUUUUUGAAAUCUUUGAUCAAUCUCUUUUGGAAUGACUCUCCCUAUGCUUCAACAUGUGUGUUUGACUUAGAGAUAGAGAUUUGAGUUUGAUUUGCAAAAACAAACCAAGUGGUGGCAAAGGAUGAUCCAUAUAUGCCAAAAAUGAAUCAAAAUAGAUUUGAGUUCUAUUUCAAGUGAUUUUGCACUUGUUCUAGUUGCUUUAUAUUGUGUUGGCAUAAAUCACCAAAAAGGGGGAGAUUGAAAGGGAAAUGUGCCUUUUGGCCAUUUCUAAGUAUUUUGGUGAUUAAGUGUCAACACAAAGUGCUUAAAUGUGAAUCUAUGCCCAUGGAUGAACAAAGUGCACAUCACAAGUAAAGGUAUGUUUCUAAGCCUUAGUACAUUGGUUUUGUGUACUAAUAUAUUUAUCUAAGUGUUAGAAACAGAAAGAAGAAGAAAAGGAGAUUGUUGGCUGUGUACAGCCAACAGGCUGUUUCGGUCUGGGGCACCGGACUGUCCGGUGGUGCACCGGACAGUGUCCGGUGCGCCAGGCUGCCUCGACCUGAAGACGCCGCUCUCGGGAAUUUGCCGACGGCGUACGGCUAAAAUUCACCGGACUGUCCGGUGUGCACCGGACUAUCCGGUGAGCCAACGGUCGACCGAGCCAACGGUCGGCCGCGGAAUCUGCGCGCGACACGUGGUCUGGCCAACGGUCGGAAGGAGGCACCGGACUGUCCGGUGUGCACCGGACUGUCCGGUGCGCCAGAUCUGCAACGGUCGGCUGCGCUGUUUAAGGAAAUAAAUCGGGCACCGGACAGUGUCCGGUGUGCACCGGACUGUCCGGUGCGCCCGAUGACAGAAGGCAAGGAUGGCCUUCCAGAUUUGUUCUCAACGGCUCCUAGCUGCCUUGGGGCUAUAAAAGGGACCCCUAGGCGCAUGGAGGAGUACACCAAGCAACCUUAGAGCAUUCUUGAUCAUCCACACUCAGUCUUUGCGCAUUCGUUUGUCAUUCUAAGUGAUUCGAGCUCGUUCUAGUGUGAACUUUGAGAUAGUCUCUUUAGCUCGUUUCUUGGCCGUGUGUGUGCGCAUUUUGCUGUGGAUUUGUGUGUGUUGCUUCCCUCCCUUACUCCGUGCUUCUUUGUGAAAUUCAAUUGUAAGGGCGAGAGACUCCAAGUUGUGGAGAUUCCUCGCAAACGGGAAAAGAUCAAAGAAAAGAAGAACACCGUGGUAUUCAAGUUGAUCAUUGGAUCACUUGAGAGGAGUUGAGUGCAACUCUUGUCCGUUGGGACGCCACAACGUGGAGUAGGCAAGUUUUGUACUUGGCCGAACCACGGGAUAACCACCGUGUCAUCUCUGUGAUUGAUUUCUUGUGAUUAUUGUGUCUUGGCUCCUCUCUAGCCACUUGGCAAUUAUUGUGCUAACGAUUAACCAAGUUUUUGUGGCUAUAAGCUUAAGUUUUACAGGAUCACCUAUUCACCCCCCCCUCUAGGUGCUCUCAGGUAGUCGCUCCAUAUUCCAAUUAACAUAAUAAUCUUAUCAUGAACAAUAAUCAAACCAACAAAAAUAAUGGAACAUGAGCAUAAUUUAGUAUAACAUUAAUCCCAAAACCAGGUAGAUCAAUAGCAAGUCUACCGAAUAGUUCAUUUGUUUGCAAGGUGUGGAGGGAACAAAACUAGGGUAACCUAUUAGGUCCCAUCAAAUUAACCUGAGCAUGGCAUAGUGAUUAACAAGAACAUUAUUAGGUAAAAAAGAGUGAUCAAAGGCACAACUUGCCUUAUACUUGAGAUUACAGAUACUUUACCAAGUUGGUCUUCAGGUUUCUCGUGACCUCUCUGCUACUCGUAGCAAUACAUACAAAUAGACAAGUAGUAUAUAAAAAUAACAUUACACAAAACAUGAGAACACACUGCGUAGGAAUAUUCUAUGCACCACUACGAGAUCGUAGGUUCGAGAAUCACUAAAUUCGGAUAUAAAACGAAAUAGUUAUGAGUUUUCUAAGUGUUUAGAAUUAUUUUAUACUUAGAAAACAAUUUCUGUAUUUAUUUUAAAGUCUCUCAUGACCUAAUGGAAGUGGAUAGUAUUUAAACAAAAGACAUGAUUUGUUUUAAAAAUAAUAGGGGUUGUUUUUAAUUAUCUUUAACAUAACCAGGACGACGAGUUUAUUUUAGUGAAACAUGAGGACUCUUCUGUAGAACGUACUCGGAUGAAGGGGUAUGAGCGCGCCACAGCCGGCCGAUCUAAUCUGAUUGGACAAGAUUAGAUCCAAACCCAUGUGAUCCGGCACGCUACCGUGGCCACUGGAUCCGAGAUCAACGGUCAAAAUUUAAGGAAACACGAUUCAAUCUGGAUCAUCCAGUCCACAUCCUCUCGGAUCUAAUCUCCCAUAGGGUGCACGGAGAUCUAAUCCUACCCGCCCGUCGGACGAUCAAUGAUCUGGCGCCAUCGUCCUUACUCUGCUGGAGAAACACGGCGGCAUUUCUUACCUCGUGGUGGCGCCCUGCUGAAGAUUCACAAUAUGUCGAGCCGAUGCACCAAACCCCGAUCCAAACGGUGCUAUGCAAAGAGAAGGACAAAGCGAAACAAAGAGGUGGGGAUCUCACUGAAGGCGGAGACAGGGACCGAGCUGCCCACGAUGAGAAGUGGAUCUGUGGUGGUGCUAGGUGACCGACGAGAAAUCACCGCCAACCCAUGGCUUCCCGUGCUCCGCGAUCUUCCGCAACGGCGAUGGCGAGAGGAUGCUAAGGUGCUGCUCGGCUCUAUUCCUUCCUCUUCUGCGACGGUGAUGGUGCACGGCUAGAUGGCGACGUAGUCACGGUGCUUGGUUUUAUGGCCCAGAGUCGAGUCUCGGUGGGUGCAAGGAUCCAAGCCGGUGUGCUAACCGACUCCUGGAAGUCUGCGCGAUUCCAUGGGCGUUCGCAACAACCCAGGGAAGAGGAGGCUUCU
Molecule: long non-coding RNA, 11345 nt
Filed under: Zea mays
Lineage: Eukaryota; Viridiplantae; Streptophyta; Magnoliopsida; Poales; Poaceae
Description: long non-coding RNA (ZMAY_LNC001026)
Source: RNAcentral